Molecule: ribosomal RNA, 254 nt
Filed under: uncultured bacterium
Lineage: Bacteria
Description: partial 16S ribosomal RNA
Rfam family: Bacterial small subunit ribosomal RNA
Source: RNAcentral
UACGUAGGCAGCAAGCGUUGUUCGGAGUUACUGGGCGUAAAGGGUGUGUAGGCGGUUUUUUAAGUUUGGUGUGAAAUCUCCCGGCUCAACUGGGAGGGUGCGCCGAAUACUGAAUGACUUCGAGUGCGGGAGAGGAGAGUGGAAUUCCUGGUGUAGCGGUGAAAUGCGUAGAUAUCAGGAGGAACACCGGUGGUGUAGACGGCUCUCUGGACCGUAACUGACGCUGAGACACGAAAGCGUGGGUAGCAAACAGG